AAAAUAUUAAGUUAAAUUAAACUAUUGACCUUCAAAGUCAAAAAUUCCUUUAAGAAUGUUUUG
This 63-nucleotide transfer RNA is filed under the name Bulinus truncatus. RNAcentral's name for it is "tRNA-Trp". Lineage: Eukaryota; Metazoa; Mollusca; Gastropoda; Planorbidae. The record is from RNAcentral.